GACAGGUCGCAUGCUAUCCUCCGGCGGUGUUGGCCGCUUGAGGGGAAGGUGCCCUUAGUACGAGAGGAACCGGGUGCCGCGGCCUCUUGUCUACCGGUUGUCCUGCAGGGCACUGCCGGGCAGCUACGCCGUUUCCGAUAAGGCCUGAAAGCAUCUAAGGCCGAAGCGGUCCCCAAAAAUAAGCGGCCACUCCCU
This 195-nucleotide ribosomal RNA is filed under the name Thermococci archaeon. RNAcentral describes it as "partial 23S ribosomal RNA". It matches the Rfam family "Archaeal large subunit ribosomal RNA", at positions 2694 to 2888 of the family's 2987-position model. Lineage: Archaea; Methanobacteriati; Methanobacteriota; Thermococci. The record is from RNAcentral.